GAUGAAGAACGUAGCGAAAUGCGAUAAGUAAUGUGAAUUGCAGAAUUCAGUGAAUCAUCGAAUCUUUGAACGCACAUUGCGCCCGCUAGUAUUCUGGCGGGCAUGCCUGUUCGAGCGUCAUUUCAACCAUCAAGCCCCAGGCUUGUGUUGGGGGCCUGCGGCUGCCGCAGCCCCCUAAAAGCAGUGGCGGGCUCGCUAUCACACCGAGUGCAGUAGUUCAUCUUCUCUCCGGUCUUGUGAGGCGGGUUCCGGCCGUGAAACACCCCACUACAUUCAAGGUUGACCUCGGAUCAGGUAGGAAUACCCGCUGAACUUAAGCAUAUCAAUAAGCGGAGGA
Molecule: unclassified non-coding RNA, 337 nt
Filed under: soil metagenome
Description: partial contains 5.8S ribosomal RNA, internal transcribed spacer 2, and large subunit ribosomal RNA
Rfam family: 5.8S ribosomal RNA (bases 1-120)
Source: RNAcentral